RNAcentral lists this long non-coding RNA (637 nucleotides) under Cyanoderma ruficeps (rufous-capped babbler). RNAcentral describes it as "lncRNA (ENSCRFG00000011205.1)". Lineage: Eukaryota; Metazoa; Chordata; Aves; Passeriformes; Timaliidae. The record is from RNAcentral.
AUCACCUUUUGAGACUGUAAAUAACUCCCUUCCUUCAUCCUUCAUUUACAUUAUUAUUUCCUUAAAGUUAUUUGUAGACUGAUAUAAUUUUCUCUGACCUUUCCUCUUUUAGAAUACUUUGCUUAACCCUGUCACCCCCUCACCUCUGUUUCUGCUGCUUAAACAUUAUCAUUCUUUUCUCCUCCCUGUUACACUUUCUCUAAAGCUUCCCUUAGCUUUGGGGACCAGAACUGCAGGCAGACAGGCAGAUUCUCCACCCACUGAUCAAUCUGAGGUAAUGGUUUGUAAUUCAGGAAUGAGGACCUUCAGGUGCUACCAGGAAACACUUUCUGGUGUUGCAGACUGCUUCCAUGGAUGCAAAACCCUAAGAUCCAAGACCCUCUCCCAGAGCUGCAAGGUGAAAGAGGCAUGACUGGGGAAGUGAAGAUCAUUCCACAGAGUUCAAAAACAGCCCUCACCAUGUGCACUGUGUUCCAAGUGAAGGAGAGUAUGAACUAUCCUGAAAAGCAAAGCACGUAGAUAAGAAAAAGAUGAAAUGAAUCUCAGUGCAAGAUUAUGGAAUGGUCUGCUAUGAGAAGCUGUGGAAGCUCAAGACUGACUCACUGAGCAACACUCCAAAAAUGCUGGAAUUGGUAAG